RNAcentral lists this transfer RNA (69 nucleotides) under Candidatus Pelagibacter sp. RNAcentral describes it as "tRNA-Val". The stretch from base 1 to 57 matches the Rfam family "tRNA", at positions 9 to 63 of the family's 71-position model. Rfam says of the family: Transfer RNA (tRNA) molecules are approximately 80 nucleotides in length. Their secondary structure includes four short double-helical elements and three loops (D, anti-codon, and T loops). Further hydrogen bonds mediate the characteristic L-shaped molecular structure. tRNAs have two regions of fundamental functional importance: the anti-codon, which is responsible for specific mRNA codon recognition, and the 3' end, to which the tRNAs corresponding amino acid is attached (by aminoacyl-tRNA synthetases). tRNAs cope with the degeneracy of the genetic code in two manners: having more than one tRNA (with a specific anti-codon) for a particular amino acid; and 'wobble' base-pairing, i.e. permitting non-standard base-pairing at the 3rd anti-codon position. Lineage: Bacteria; Pseudomonadati; Pseudomonadota; Alphaproteobacteria; Candidatus Pelagibacterales; Candidatus Pelagibacteraceae. The record is from RNAcentral.
AGCUCAGUUGGUAGAGCAUCUCGUUUACACCGAGGGGGUCAAAGGUUUUUUUCCCUUGCUAAUCCUAUC